This 253-nucleotide ribosomal RNA is filed under the name uncultured bacterium. RNAcentral describes it as "partial 16S ribosomal RNA". It matches the Rfam family "Bacterial small subunit ribosomal RNA", at positions 524 to 776 of the family's 1533-position model. The record is from RNAcentral.
UACGUAGGUGGCAAGCGUUGUUCGGAAUUACUGGGCGUAAAGCGCGUGUAGGCGGCUCUUCAAGUCAGACGUGAAAGCCCCGGGCUUAACUCGGGAACUGCGUUUGAUACUGUCGAGCUAGAGUGUGGAAGGGGCGAUUGGAAUUCCGUGUGUAGCGGUGAAAUGCGUAGAUAUACGGAGGAACACCAGAGGCGAAGGCGGAUCGCUGGGCCAACACUGACGCUGAGACGCGAAAGCUAGGGGAGCAAACGUG